This 204-nucleotide unclassified non-coding RNA is filed under the name Hevea brasiliensis (rubber tree). The record is from RNAcentral. Lineage: Eukaryota; Viridiplantae; Streptophyta; Magnoliopsida; Malpighiales; Euphorbiaceae.
AUCCAGUUCAGACCAGGAGGUGAGUAUCAUGGAAAUAAUCCAGAAAUGUCAAAACUUCUUCAUAAAGCAGUUCGUGAGAAGAGUGAAAAUGCUUAUUUUAUUUAUCAGCAACACCUCGAAAAUCGACCUGUGAAUGUUCUCCGUGAUCUUCUUGAGUUCAAAAGUGACCGGCCACCAAUUCCUGUUAGCAAAGUUGAAUCAGCA